RNAcentral lists this transfer RNA (85 nucleotides) under Tilletia walkeri. It matches the Rfam family "tRNA". Rfam says of the family: Transfer RNA (tRNA) molecules are approximately 80 nucleotides in length. Their secondary structure includes four short double-helical elements and three loops (D, anti-codon, and T loops). Lineage: Eukaryota; Fungi; Basidiomycota; Exobasidiomycetes; Tilletiales; Tilletiaceae. The record is from Rfam by way of RNAcentral.
GGCCUCUUAGCUCAGUUGGUAGAGUGUCAGAUUCCAGCGUUUCGUUGUAUCCUGAAAGUCAGCGGUUCAAAUCCGCUAGGGGUCA